CACAGGACCGAUGUUGUGAAUCAUGCUUGUGAUAUGUUGCAGCGCCUUCAGCUCGAAAUACAAUGUUUGGAAGAGGAAGCUAAGCGGCUGAAUAGCACCAAGGAGGAGGAGGAGGAACAUGGCAAUAGGAUCAGUGCUGCAGG
RNAcentral lists this non-coding RNA (143 nucleotides) under Chaetoceros cf. neogracilis. Lineage: Eukaryota; Bacillariophyta; Thalassiosirophyceae; Chaetocerotales; Chaetocerotaceae. The record is from RNAcentral.